AUUUUAUAUAUAUGCUCAAAUGCUUAGUUUUACAAAAAUUUAUCGAAAGUGUGUUUGGUUCAAUCGAAAUGAAUGUUAUAUUUUAUGAAUUACGUGAACGCUUCUGCUCUUUAGUUGAAUUACAUGGAGAUGUAAAAUUAUAUAAAAACGAUUCAGAUCAAAUAAAUAAAGAUGUUUAUAAGCAUACAAAUCAUAAUAUAAUAACCGAACAUAAAAUCAGUUAUACAAAUGAAUACAUUUUUAAUCACCUAUAUUUUAUUAAAUGCUUUUUAUGUAUUCGCAUACUUUUUAAUAUUUUAAAAAAUUUUACAUUCGCUAACUCUAUUUAUCAAUACUGCUUUUCUUUGUUCUUUUCGUAUUUUAAGAAUAAAGGAAAGAUUAUUGCUCCUGGAAAGUUUUGGAAAGAGGUAUUCAACGAAUGUACAAAACGAUACAUCGAAAUGUAUAAACAAGUACCAAAAAAUAUUUUCAAAAUGAAGCAAAAACAGUUACAUAUAAAUUCACUUGAAUUAACACAAGAUGAAGAACAUGAGCAGUAUCAAUUAUUUGAAAAAUAUUUUACAUACUUUUUCAAUACUUAUAUUAAAGGUUAUGGUAUACCUCAACAUAUAAUUACAUUUAAUAUUCAUUUACAAAGAAAAGGGACAUCCAUGGAUAAUUUUAAUUUCUUAGUUGCACAAAAUGCAAUUACUCCAUUUGAUUUUUGCAAUAACAACUUUCAUUCAAAUUAUUUUCUUGCAGAUAUCGCAUCUAUGAAUGUGUACAGCUUACUACAACUAAAUAAACAUUUGGAUAUAAAAACUAAAUUAUACAUUAGUAAAAUAAAUGGAAAUGUGUGUGCAAAUUAUACUCGGCACAGUAAAAAAUGGAAAAACACUAGUAGAACUAAACCCAAAACGGGUGAACGAAAAACUUUUUACAUUACUCAAGGAAGGACUCAUCUUGAUAAAAUUAUAUUCGAAAUUUUUUUAAAUCAACCAUAUAUACAUACAUAUGAUAACAUAGAAAAAAAAUACAUACAAUUUUUAAAAAUAAAUAAAUAUUAUGAUAUAGACCAUACUUAUGAUUAUCCAUUAGGUUUGUUUAGUACCAAAAAAAACACUAUUAUUAACCAAUUUAUUAUAAAAAAAAAUGUUAAAAAUAAAAAAAAUAUUUAUUUUUUGAUAAAAAAACAACCUACUAUUUUUACGAAAGGUUAUCGACGCAAACUAAAUAAAAUGAUAGAAAAGGGGGUGAAUAUUCAAGUGAAGGACAAUCAACUAGAAGGAGUAAACAAGCAAAAAAAUAAAAAUAAAAAUAAAAAAAUAAAAAAAAAUAGAGACAAUAUUAUAAACAAAUGUACUAACACAAGCAAAAACGAUAAAAAUCAAAUGUAUAAGCAAUUAAAAACUGGUAGUACAGAAAAAAUGGCACAAAUUAAUAAUCAAAACGAUGUACAAACAAGUGUACACUCUGCAGAAGCAUAUAUGAUGUAUAAUAAUGACGUAUAUAACAAACAAAUACAUAAAGAUAACCAAAAUGAUGUUUAUAUACAAAUGAUGAAUCAUAAAGAAACCGACUCAACUGACAUGAUUGCUAAUAAUGCAAAAAUCGAAAAAAAAAAAAAAAAAAAAAAAAAUGAUUUACAAAGAAAUCAAAGCACAAAAGAAAUAGAAAAAAGCCUUACCAAAAGUGACCAUCAUCGUAAUAAAAAAAAAAAAAAAAAAAUAAAAUAAAAAAUAAAACAAUGACAAACAUAAAACA
Molecule: long non-coding RNA, 1743 nt
Filed under: Piliocolobus tephrosceles (Ugandan red Colobus)
Lineage: Eukaryota; Metazoa; Chordata; Mammalia; Primates; Cercopithecidae
Description: lncRNA (ENSPTEG00000014966.1)
Source: RNAcentral